This 409-nucleotide ribosomal RNA is filed under the name uncultured microorganism. RNAcentral describes it as "bacterial SSU rRNA". It matches the Rfam family "Archaeal small subunit ribosomal RNA", at positions 330 to 745 of the family's 1478-position model. The record is from RNAcentral.
GUGCACCAGGCGAGAAUACUUUACAAUGUGCGAAAGCACGAUAAGGGAACUCUGAGUGCCUCCUAAGGAGGCUGUUCAGGUGUCUAAAAGCACCUGAAGGAAGGGCUGGGUAAGACCGGUGCCAGCCGCCGCGGUAACACCGGCAGCCCAAGUGGUAGCCACGUUUAUUGGGUCUAAAGCGUCCGUAGCCGGCUGGGUAAGUUCCUUGGGAAAUUUGGCUGCUUAACAGUCAAGCUUUCAGGGAAUACUGCCCGGCUUGGGACCGGGAGAGGUCAGAGGUACUCCAGGGGUAGGGGUGAAAUCCAUUAAUCCUUGGGGGACCACCGGUAGCGAAGGCGUCUGACCAGACCGGGUCCGACGGUGAGGGACGAAGGCUAGGGGCGCGAACCGGAUUAGAUACCCGUGUAGU